UGAGCAAUGCACUUUGCCUAUGCUGGGGAGC
RNAcentral lists this non-coding RNA (31 nucleotides) under Homo sapiens (human). Lineage: Eukaryota; Metazoa; Chordata; Mammalia; Primates; Hominidae. The record is from RNAcentral.